UUGGAAAUGAUUGUUUAGUGUAAUUGAAUCCUACAUGAGAUCCUCGCCAACAACUAUAUCCUAUGCCUCUAAUGAGAAGGCAAUAAAAGGACAAGGCAAAGUGCAAAUUACAAAGCACUCAAAUCCUCAGCCAAAAUAGAGCUUCCCUUAAAAUCUUUCUUUUCUCUUAAAGCCAUAAAUCAUGAGUACCAAACUCAUUGCUGGUAAGCACAUCUCCAUCGAUU
Molecule: long non-coding RNA, 224 nt
Filed under: Glycine max (soybean)
Lineage: Eukaryota; Viridiplantae; Streptophyta; Magnoliopsida; Fabales; Fabaceae
Description: long non-coding RNA (GMAX_LNC000814)
Source: RNAcentral